This 24-nucleotide non-coding RNA is filed under the name Arabidopsis thaliana (thale cress). The record is from RNAcentral. Lineage: Eukaryota; Viridiplantae; Streptophyta; Magnoliopsida; Brassicales; Brassicaceae.
UUUGCUCAACAAGCGGAGAGGACG